RNAcentral lists this ribosomal RNA (773 nucleotides) under uncultured Neocallimastigales. RNAcentral's name for it is "partial large subunit ribosomal RNA". It matches the Rfam family "Eukaryotic large subunit ribosomal RNA", at positions 22 to 646 of the family's 3401-position model. Lineage: Eukaryota; Fungi; Neocallimastigomycota; Neocallimastigomycetes; Neocallimastigales. The record is from RNAcentral.
GUACACGCUGUGACUAGCAUAUCAAUAAGCGGAGGAAAAGAAACUAACAAGGAUUCCCCUAGUAACGGCGAGUGAAGCGGGAAGAGCUCAAAUUUGAAAUCUUAAAGGGUUUCCCUUUACGAAUUGUAGUUUGAAGAAGUGUUUUCUGUUGAGGUUUUGGUAAAAGUUCUUUGGAAUAGGACAUCAUAGAGGGUGAGAAUCCCGUAUUUGACCUUUACUUUCAACUUUGUGAUACACUUUCAAAGAGUCGGAUUGUUUGGGAAUGCAGUCCAAAAUGGGUGGUAAAUUUCAUCUAAAGCUAAAUAUUGGCGAGAGACCGAUAGCGAACAAGUACCGUGAGGGAAAGAUGAAAAGAACUUUGAAAAGAGAGUUAAACAGUACGUGAAAUUGUCAAAAGGGAAGCGUUUGACACCAGUGUUGUUUUUCUGAAAUCAAUUAAAGAACUGUUUAUGCUAAGCUGUUUAGACUUUAUCAGCUAACUGUUUAGUUUUGAGCUUCUCUUUAAUGCACUUUUCAGUUAACAAGUCAACAUCAAUUUCUUUCGCUGUAAAAAAGCUUGAGGAAGGUGGCUUGAGAUUCGUCUUAAGUGUUUAUAGCCUCUUGCCUAUGCAGUCGGAGAGAUUGAGGUCUGCAGCGUAGAUCCUUCGGGGCUAAAUGCAUUUGUGCUAAGUUAUAGCAUUUCAUAGACAACUUGUUGACUAUGAUUUGUCUUGUAGCUUACUCGCUUAUGUUAUUUUACCUACGCUUAGGAUGUUGACGAGACUGUCGAUCUC